AUGAUGGGGAUGCUCAUCUUCAAGGAUGGCGAGAGGAAGGAGAUGGUCAUCGGCACCAUUGCAGACAUGGCCUUGGCCGCCACAGUCGACAUAGGACCAGCAGAAAGCAGAAGGCGGGUCUCACAGUCAAGAAGUGUACGUACGUACGUCUUCCAACAAGAGAAACGGGAAACCAAACCCCCAAAAUUCCCCUCUUCAUCUGGCCCCCAUGCCGGACAAUGGCACACCGUCGCAUUUGAUGGGUGGAGUGCUCUGAUCACAGGAAUCAUCGACAAUGUGCGAUCCUCCACCGUGUUCAGAAAGCGCUACUACGCGCACGGAUGCUUCUGUUGGGCGAUACCUGGUCUCAACAAGUUGCUCAUGCUCGACACCUUCAGCCUGGGAACACCUCCUACCUCCACUAGAAGUGUAUUCUACUGGGAUGACAAGCUCCCAGGAUCUCGGCUUCUUCUCGACAGGCUGCGGCUCCUCCUCAGCCCGGGGUACCCCUACGAAGAAAUGUUGAGCAGAUUCCAGGCCCAAAAUGACAAUGCUGUGUGCUCCUAUUUGCCAGUACUCAAGCCAUUCAACUUCACCAAAGGAGGACUGAUACACCUCAACCAUGGAGGGCCUCGGCCGCUUUACUUUGAUUACAUCUUAGGAAAAGAACCCAAUGCUACGUACAUUGUCGGUUUUGGAAACAAGUACCCCAAAAAUGUUCAUCACAGAGGGGCAUCGAUCCCUUAUGACGGUGUUAAGUACGGGUGCAAAGGAGGUACAGAAUGGAAGCAGAGUAAGAAAGCAAACCCUAAUAUCAUCCUCGGAGUAAUGGUUGCUGGUCCUGACGGGCAUGAUGGCUUCAAAGAUGUCCGCGAAGACUACAACUACACGGAGCCUUCUCUUGCAGCAAAUGCUAAUCAGGUUGCAGCACUCAUUUCCCAACUUGACGUUGGCACUGCAGACAGAAGUAGUUGA
This 954-nucleotide ribosomal RNA is filed under the name Triticum aestivum (bread wheat). RNAcentral's name for it is "partial small subunit ribosomal RNA". Lineage: Eukaryota; Viridiplantae; Streptophyta; Magnoliopsida; Poales; Poaceae. The record is from RNAcentral.